GUCUCAGCCAUGUGUAAUGAAGCAAGAAUGGGUCAGAUCAGAGGAACUCAUGGAUUCAUAAAUCUUUGCUGCACUGCAAUUAAAACACUAAAUUAUAUAAGUUGCCUUAGCUUGGUUUUCCCAGAAAGCAGAGCCUAAGGCUUAUGUGCUCUUAUGUUAUCAAGGAGUGUAAUACCCGGAGCACAUGUGAGGGACAAGAGGAGUGAGACAGAGAAUGAGAGAGAAGGGGAGACAGAGAGAGAGAGACAGAGAGAGAGAGAGAGAUAUUGGGAGAAAGAGAGAGCACGCCAUUGGAGUGACCAUCACUUAGUCUCAAUGGAGCCAUCUUCCAAGAGGCCAGAUAAACGACUACUUCUUCUGAUUGUCCAUUGCAGGAGGAUGGUCAAGAAUACAUCUGCUAUCUCCAUUCCCCUGGAUCAAAGUUUUUCUUCAUGGGACAUUAAUUCUCCAAGUACUUCCGGGUUGCACUCGUGUGGAUGCCAGAGGGUCUCAUGAUGUCUCACGCCUCUGUGACAACAGUGAAGCCAUGGGCAGGAGGUUAUCUUUGCUGAAGAAACGCAUUUCGGUGGUGAACACAGAGGUUGGAAAUAGCCAAGGAGCACAUGGUGAUAAAGAGAAGAUGUUGCAGCUUUUCCUUGCUGUCUCAUGGAGGAUGUGUGACAUGAAGAGCGUUAGAGAA
Microcebus murinus (gray mouse lemur) is the source of this 679-nucleotide non-coding RNA. NCBI's taxonomy places the organism in Eukaryota, Metazoa, Chordata, Mammalia, Primates, Cheirogaleidae. The record is from RefSeq and is a predicted model, not a curated record.